This is a long non-coding RNA of Perca fluviatilis (European perch), 214 nucleotides long. RefSeq lists it as uncharacterized. The record is from RefSeq and is a predicted model, not a curated record. The transcript is spliced from 4 exons. Lineage: Eukaryota; Metazoa; Chordata; Actinopteri; Perciformes; Percidae.
CCCCAUCCACAAUUGAUGAUACUGAAGAGCUGACCACUGAGAGCAAGUGCAUCCAUACAGCUGUCAGCCACCCAAAUCAGACCAGUCCAGAGCUCGGCCCUCUCACCAAGGCCCUUGAUGACAAAUUGGCUCCAAACAUUUGUGGUGCCACAAAUCCCCCAUCCACAAUUGAUGAUACUGAAGAGCUGACCACUGAGAGCAAGUGCAUCCAUAC